AGCUUACACAACACACUCUGCUUUCUGAGUCUCUAGUCCCCAGACGUGUUCCUGGGGGAAUGGAACCUCAGUCCAUCCAACUGCUAUUAUUUUGAAGAAAGUGCCAGCAAUAGAUGUCAGAGCCUGGAAAAGGACCACAGGUCGUUAGGAGAGAACUUGAGGAGCAACAGAGAAAAAUUUCAAACGCUACAGACAGACCAUCCCUUUGGUCAUCUUCGUGGCCUUCCUCUGGACCUACCCCAACUCCUUUCUUGAGUAGAGGAUGCCAGGACUGGAUGCAGUAAUCCAGAUUGGGCCUCCAGAGGGCAGAGGGGUCUACCAGCUCCAUUCCCCUGCUGGCCACCCCUCUUCUAAUGCAGCCCAGGAGUUCUGUCUAAAGGGUGUUGAAUGUAGAAACAUUGUUACCAUUUUCUUACCUCCAUAACAA
This is a long non-coding RNA of Gallus gallus (chicken), 427 nucleotides long. The record is from Ensembl. Lineage: Eukaryota; Metazoa; Chordata; Aves; Galliformes; Phasianidae.